This 213-nucleotide ribosomal RNA is filed under the name uncultured Planctomycetota bacterium. RNAcentral describes it as "uncultured planctomycete partial 16S ribosomal RNA". It matches the Rfam family "Bacterial small subunit ribosomal RNA", at positions 599 to 810 of the family's 1533-position model. The record is from RNAcentral. Lineage: Bacteria; Pseudomonadati; Planctomycetota.
AGCCUUCUGUUCAUAGGAAGAACGGCAUCUGAAACUGCAGAUCUUGAGUGUAGGAGGGGAGAGUGGAACUUCUGGUGGAGCGGUGAAAUGCGUAGAUAUCAGAAGGAACGUCGGCGGCGAAAGCGACUCUCUGGCCUAUUACUGACACUGAGUGUGCGAAAGUUAGGGGAGCAAACGGGAUUAGAUACCCCGGUAGUCCUAACUGUAAACGAU